Non-coding RNA from Pelobates cultripes (western spadefoot toad), 381 nucleotides. The record is from the annotation of a GenBank genome assembly. Lineage: Eukaryota; Metazoa; Chordata; Amphibia; Anura; Pelobatidae.
UGGCACUUUACAUAUGUCUGAUGCUGUUUACUGUAUCAUAUGAUCUUGUAUUUUUUUUUUCUUUUUUAAAUUUUUUAUUUUUACAUGACAAAAACAGUGGCAUAGAAAUCGCAUUUCGUCUUGCACAGAAGCCCCUAUACAACGGUCUAAGCAAAGCACGUUUCCCACCCUGAGGUUACACCCAGAUGUGGGAUUGCUCCGUGGCUAUAUGUCACCGUCCAUCACGGUUUUGACCAUAUAUAGGCCUGGUUUUCUUAGAUCCCCUGUUAUGUGUGCCCUCUCAUCUAUCUUUCGCACCGCCAGUGUAGUGUCAAACCAUCGAGUUCAUGGCUAUCGGGCUACUAACGUCUGACCACUGUUGAUAUUUCUUGUUGUUGUCGC